UUAAGUUCAGCGGGUAUUCCUACCUGAUCCGAGGUCAACGUUCAGAAAGUUGGGUGUUUUACGGCGUGGCCACGUCGGGUUUCCGGUGCGAGGUGAUAGUACUACGCAGAGGUCGCCGCGGACGGGCCGCCACUCCAUUUCGGGGCUGGCGGUAAGCUGCCAAUCCCCAACGCCGGCCUCCCCAAAGGGAGCCCGAGGGU
Molecule: unclassified non-coding RNA, 200 nt
Filed under: Ascomycota sp.
Lineage: Eukaryota; Fungi; Ascomycota
Description: partial internal transcribed spacer 2
Source: RNAcentral